This 73-nucleotide transfer RNA is filed under the name Rhodopirellula sp. Its description in RNAcentral is "tRNA-Lys". It matches the Rfam family "tRNA". From Rfam's summary of the family: Transfer RNA (tRNA) molecules are approximately 80 nucleotides in length. Lineage: Bacteria; Pseudomonadati; Planctomycetota; Planctomycetia; Pirellulales; Pirellulaceae. RNAcentral also lists the same sequence under 2 other names. The record is from RNAcentral.
GAGGACGUAGCUCAGUUGGUAGAGCAACGGACUUUUAAUCCGUAGGUCCUGGGUUCAAGCCCCAGCGUCCUCA